Molecule: ribosomal RNA, 376 nt
Filed under: uncultured eukaryote
Lineage: Eukaryota
Description: partial 18S ribosomal RNA
Rfam family: Eukaryotic small subunit ribosomal RNA
Source: RNAcentral
CAAUAGCGUAUAUUAAAGUUGUUGCAGUUAAAAAGCUCGUAGUUGAAUUUUGGAUUUGACAGCAGGGUCUCUUUGAAAGAAGAGUACUUUGGUGUUGGAUCUUGUUUGCAGUGAACCCAUGUGUCAUUUAUUUGGUGUAUGGUGGAACUACAGGUUUACUUUGAAAAAAUUAGAGUGUUUAAGGCAAGCAUCGCCUGAAUACAUUAGCAUGGAAUAAUAGAAUAGGACUUUGGUUCUAUUUUGUUGGUUUCUAGGACCAAGGUAAUGAUUAAUAGGGAUAGUUGGGGACAUUAGUAUUUCAUUGUCAGAGGUGAAAUUCUUGGAUUUAUGAAAGACUAACUUGUGCGAAAGCAUUUGUCCAGAAUGUUUUCAUUAA